Molecule: ribosomal RNA, 468 nt
Filed under: uncultured bacterium
Lineage: Bacteria
Description: partial 16S ribosomal RNA
Rfam family: Bacterial small subunit ribosomal RNA
Source: RNAcentral
GACGAACGCUGGCGGCGUGCUUAACACAUGCAAGUCGAACGGAAAGGCCCUGCUUUUGUGGGGUGCUCGAGUGGCGAACGGGUGAGUAGCACGUGAGUAACCUGCCCUUGACUUUGGGAUAACUUCAGGAAACUGGGGCUAAUACCGGAUAGGAGCUCCUGCUGCAUGGUGGGGGUUGGAAAGUUUCGGCGGUUGGGGAUGGACUCGCGGCUUAUCAGCUUGUUGGUGGGGUAGUGGCUUACCAAGGCUUUGACGGGUAGCCGGCCUGAGAGGGUGACCGGCCACAUUGGGACUGAGAUACGGCCCAGACUCCUACGGGAGGCAGCAGUGGGGAAUAUUGCACAAUGGGCGGAAGCCUGAUGCAGCAACGCCGCGUGCGGGAUGACGGCCUUCGGGUUGUAAACCGCUUUCGCCUGCGACGAAGCGUGAGUGACGGUAAUGGGUAAAGAAGCACCGGCUAACUACGUG